GAUGAACGCUGGCGGCGUGCCUAAUACAUGCAAGUCGAGCGAACAGACGAGGAGCUUGCUCCUCUGACGUUAGCGGCGGACGGGUGAGUAACACGUGGAUAACCUACCUAUAAGACUGGGAUAACUUCGGGAAACCGGAGCUAAUACCGGAUAAUAUAUUGAACCGCAUGGUUCAAUAGUGAAAGACGGUUUUGCUGUCACUUAUAGAUGGAUCCGCGCCGCAUUAGCUAGUUGGUAAGGUAACGGCUUACCAAGGCAAUGAUGCGUAGCCGACCUGAGAGGGUGAUCGGCCACACUGGAACUGAGACACGGGCCAGACGCCUAGGGGAGGCAGAAGUAGGGAAUCUUCCGCGAUGGGCGAAAGCCUGACGGAGCAACGCCGCGUGAGUGAUGAAGGUCUUCGGAUCGUAAAACUCUGUUAUUAGGGAAGAACAAAUGUGUAAGUAACUAGGCACGUCUUGACGGUACCUAAGCAGAGAGCCACGGCUAGCUACGUG
RNAcentral lists this ribosomal RNA (497 nucleotides) under uncultured bacterium. RNAcentral's name for it is "partial 16S ribosomal RNA". It matches the Rfam family "Bacterial small subunit ribosomal RNA", at positions 28 to 507 of the family's 1533-position model. The record is from RNAcentral.